CUUUAACCUACAGCAGGCAGCCUGCACGCUUGAAUUCAUCCAGAGACACUUUGAGGGUAUAAACCCAGAAAAAGGGACAAAUGCUGCAAAGGGGGAGCAAGCUCAUGGACUUUCAGUGGGAUUUCAUUUGAAAAUGACCCAAGACUUCGCAAAGGAUCCUCAUUGUGUGCUUUGAGAAAAUGGUUAGUGGUCUAAGCAGUGACACUGUUUUUUUAUUUGUUUAUUUUGUUUAUUGUUCUUUAUUGAUGAUGAGUUAAGUAUCAGUUUGAAUGUAUUCAUACAUGUUGAAUUUUAGUGGUUUAGGUAACACUAUGUUUUGAGGGUCAGAAAUUUUUAUAAUGAACAAUGUAUUUGGGUGUAAAAUGAAUUUGCUAGUUUUUAAGCUAUGAACAUGAGAAAAUGAGA
Misgurnus anguillicaudatus (oriental weatherfish) is the source of this 405-nucleotide non-coding RNA. NCBI's taxonomy places the organism in Eukaryota, Metazoa, Chordata, Actinopteri, Cypriniformes, Cobitidae. The record is from RefSeq and is a predicted model, not a curated record.